Molecule: ribosomal RNA, 541 nt
Filed under: Venturia inaequalis
Lineage: Eukaryota; Fungi; Ascomycota; Dothideomycetes; Venturiales; Venturiaceae
Description: eukaryotic LSU rRNA
Rfam family: 5.8S ribosomal RNA (bases 218-352)
Source: RNAcentral
CUCUGGCGCCCGCCUUUCUCUCGUCUCUUUGAACGGUUUUUUUUUUAAUCGCGGAUGGCGCUCUAGGGUCCCGCCUUCGCUCUGGGGACCGUGCGCGAGCGAGAGAGAUAAGAUCUCUGGCCACACACCUUGUAACAGUCCGAUAGGCAGCAGUACCUCUCAGUUGAGGCCACAGCUGACUAGCGCUCUGCUGAGAUGAGUAGAGACAGUAAUAACAAACUUCACACGAUCUCUGGUCGGCACGAUGAGACGCAGCGACAUGCGAUAGUAAUGGAGUGCAGAUUCAGUGAAUCAUCGAAUCUUGAACGCACAUGCGCCCUAAGUAUUCCGGGGGCACUCCUUUCGAGCGACAUAUGUACCCUGGAGCAAUGCUUUGUGAUGGCCCCCGUCCUCGCGGACGGGCCCGAAACCCGUGGGCGCCGUCGUCCGGCCCUGAGCGUAGCAAGAGAAAUCCCUCGAUCGGAGUGUCUGUCGGCAGGCCGCCCCGAAACCCAUAUUUACAAGGUGGCCUCGGAUCAGGUGGGGAUACCCGCUGACUAUG